Molecule: ribosomal RNA, 920 nt
Filed under: Fusobacterium periodonticum
Lineage: Bacteria; Fusobacteriati; Fusobacteriota; Fusobacteriia; Fusobacteriales; Fusobacteriaceae
Description: bacterial SSU rRNA
Rfam family: Bacterial small subunit ribosomal RNA
Source: RNAcentral
AGAGUUUGAUCAUUGCUCAUGAUGAACGCUGACAGAAUGCUUAACACAUGCAAGUCUACUUGAACUUCGGUUUGGGUGGCGGACGGGUGAGUAACGCGUAAAGAACUUGCCUCACAGUUAGGGACAACAUUUGGAAACGAAUGCUAAUACCUGAUAUUAUGAUUUUAGGGCAUCCUAAGAUUAUGAAAGCUAUAUGCGCUGUGAGAGAGCUUUGCGUCCCAUUAGCUAGUUGGAGAGGUAACGGCUCACCAAGGCGAUGAUGGGUAGCCGGCCUGAGAGGGUGAACGGCCACAAGGGGACUGAGACACGGCCCUUACUCCUACGGGAGGCAGCAGUGGGGAAUAUUGGACAAUGGACCAAAAGUCUGAUCCAGCAAUUCUGUGUGCACGAUGACGUUUUUCGGAAUGUAAAGUGCUUUCAGUUGGGAAGAAAAAAAUGACGGUACCAACAGAAGAAGUGACGGCUAAAUACGUGCCAGCAGCCGCGGUAAUACGUAUGUCACAAGCGUUAUCCGGAUUUAUUGGGCGUAAAGCGCGUCUAGGUGGUUAUGUAAGUCUGAUGUGAAAAUGCAGGGCUCAACUCUGUAUUGCGUUGGAAACUGCACAACUAGAGUACUGGAGAGGUAAGCGGAACUACAAGUGUAGAGGUGAAAUUCGUAGAUAUUUGUAGGAAUGCCGAUGGGGAAGCCAGCUUACUGGACAGAUACUGACGCUAAAGCGCGAAAGCGUGGGUAGCAAACAGGAUUAGAUACCCUGGUAGUCCACGCCGUAAACGAUGAUUACUAGGUGUUGGGGGUCGAACCUCAGCGCCCAAGCUAACGCGAUAAGUAAUCCGCCUGGGGGAGUACGUACGCAAGUAUGAAACUCAAAGGAAUUGACGGGGACCCGCACAAGCGGUGGAGCAUGUGGUUUAAUUCGACG